CUACGGGUUGCACCAGUGGGGAAUAUUGGACAAUGGGGGGAACCCUGAUCCAGCCAUGCCGCGUGUGUGAAGAAGGCCUUUUGGUUGUAAAGCACUUUAAGCAGUGAAGAAGACUCUUCGGUUAAUACCCGGGGACGAUGACAUUAGCUGCAGAAUAAGCACCGGCUAACUCUGUGCCAGCAGCCGCGGUAAUACAGAGGGUGCAAUCGUUAAUCGGAAUUACUGGGCGUAAAGCGAGCGUAGGUGGCUUGAUAAGUCAGAUGUGAAAUCCCCGGGCUUAACCUGGGAACUGCACCUGAAACUGUUAGGCUAGAGUAGGUGAGAGGGAAGUAGAAUUUCAGGUGUAGCGGUGAAAUGCGUAGAGAUCUGAAGGAAUACCGAUGGCGAAGGCAGCUUCCUGGCAUCAUACUGACACUGAGGCUCGAAAGCGUGGGUAGCAAACAGGAUUAGAUACCCUGGUAGUC
This 464-nucleotide ribosomal RNA is filed under the name uncultured bacterium. RNAcentral describes it as "partial 16S ribosomal RNA". It matches the Rfam family "Bacterial small subunit ribosomal RNA", at positions 339 to 795 of the family's 1533-position model. The record is from RNAcentral.